UGGGGAAUAUUGCACAAUGGAGGGAACUCUGAUGCAGCGACGCCGCGUGAACGAAGAAGGCUUUCGAGUCGUAAAGUUCUUUUAUAUGGGAAGAUAAUGACGGUACCAUAAGAAAAAGCCCCGGCUAACUACGUGCCAGCAGCCGCGGUAAUACGUAGGGGGCUAGCGUUGUCCGGAAUCACUGGGCGUAAAGGGUUCGCAGGCGGAAAUGCAAGUCAGGUGUAAAAGGCAGUAGCUUAACUACUGUAAGCAUUUGAAACUGCAUAUCUUGAGAAGAGUAGAGGUAAGUGGAAUUUUUAGUGUAGCGGUGAAAUGCGUAGAUAUUAAAAAGAAUACCGGUGGCGAAGGCGACUUACUGGGCUCAUUCUGACGCUGAGGCUCGAAAGCGUGGGUAGCAAACAGG
This 403-nucleotide ribosomal RNA is filed under the name Bacteroidota bacterium. Its description in RNAcentral is "Bacteroidetes bacterium partial 16S ribosomal RNA". It matches the Rfam family "Bacterial small subunit ribosomal RNA", at positions 355 to 776 of the family's 1533-position model. Lineage: Bacteria; Pseudomonadati; Bacteroidota. The record is from RNAcentral.